CCUACGGGAGGCUGCAGUGGGGAAUAUUGCACAAUGGGGGAAACCCUGAUGCAGCAACGCCGCGUGAGCGAAGAAGGCCUUCGGGUCGUAAAGCUCUGUCCUAAGGGAAGAAAAAUGACGGUACCUUAGGAGGAAGCCCCGGCUAACUACGUGCCAGCAGCCGCGGUAAUACGUAGGGGGCGAGCGUUAUCCGGAAUCACUGGGCGUAAAGGGUGCGUAGGCGGCCAAUUAAGCCCGGGGGGAAAGGCUACGGCUCAACCGUAGUAAGCCCGUGGAACUGAGUGGCUUGAGUGCAGGAGAGGGGAGUGGAAUUCGUAGUGUGGCGGUGAAAGGCGUAGAGAUGAGGAGGAACACCAGUGGCGAGGGGGACGCUCUGGACUGUAACGGACGCUGGGGGACGAAAGGGUGGGGAGGAAACGGGAUGAGAUACCCUUGUAGUG
Molecule: ribosomal RNA, 440 nt
Filed under: uncultured bacterium
Lineage: Bacteria
Description: bacterial SSU rRNA
Rfam family: Bacterial small subunit ribosomal RNA
Source: RNAcentral